GAUGAACGCUGGCGGCGUGCCUAAUACAUGCAAGUCGAGCGAACAGACGAGGAGCUUGCUCCUCUGACGUUAGCGGCGGACGGGUGAGUAACACGUGGAUAACCUACCUAUAAGACUGGGAUAACUUCGGGAAACCGGAGCUAAUACCGGAUAAUAUAUUGAACCGCAUGGUUCAAUAGUGAAAGACGGUUUUGCUGUCACUUAUAGAUGGAUCCGCGCCGCAUUAGCUAGUUGGUAAGGUAACGGCUUACCAAGGCAACGAUGCGUAGCCGACCUGAGAGGGUGAUCCGCCACACUGGAACUGAGGCACGGUCCAGACUCCUAAGGGAGGCAGCAGUAGGGAAUCUUCCGCAAUGGGCGAAAGCCUGACGGAGCAACGCCGCGUGAGUGAUGAAGGUCUUCGGAUCGUAAAACUCUGUUAUUAGGGAAGAACAAAUGUGUAAGUAACUAUGCACGUCUUGACGGUACCUAAUCAGAAAGCCACGGCUAACUACGUG
Molecule: ribosomal RNA, 497 nt
Filed under: uncultured bacterium
Lineage: Bacteria
Description: partial 16S ribosomal RNA
Rfam family: Bacterial small subunit ribosomal RNA
Source: RNAcentral